AGAAGCUUAGGAUUAAAUCAAACCAGUGGUCUUCAACACCUCAAAUAAGGACAGCCCUUAGCUCCUG
RNAcentral lists this transfer RNA (67 nucleotides) under Phrynocephalus interscapularis sogdianus. Its description in RNAcentral is "tRNA-Trp". The record is from RNAcentral. Lineage: Eukaryota; Metazoa; Chordata; Lepidosauria; Squamata; Agamidae.